UAGGGAAUUUUCGUCAAUGGGGGGAAGCCCUGAACGAGCAAUGCCGCGUGUGUGAAGAAGGUCUUCGGAUCGUAAAGCACUGUUGUAAGUGAAGAAUGCCAUAUAGAGGAAAUGCUAUGUGGGUGACGGUAGCUUACCAGAAAGCCACGGCUAACUACGUGCCAGCAGCCGCGGUAAUACGUAGGUGGCAAGCGUUAUCCGGAAUCAUUGGGCGUAAAGGGUGCGUAGGUGGCACGAUAAGUCUGAAGUAAAAGGCAACAGCUCAACUGUUGUAUGCCUUGGAAACUGUCGAGCUAGAGUGCAGAAGAGGGCGAUGGAAUUCCAUGUGUAGCGGUAAAAUGCGUAGAUAUAUGGAGGAACACCAGUGGCGAAGGCGGUCGCCUGGUCUGUAACUGACACUGAUGCACGAAAGCGUGGGGAGCAAAUAGGAUUAGAUACC
This 439-nucleotide ribosomal RNA is filed under the name uncultured bacterium. RNAcentral describes it as "bacterial SSU rRNA". It matches the Rfam family "Bacterial small subunit ribosomal RNA", at positions 355 to 786 of the family's 1533-position model. The record is from RNAcentral.